GCCAGCGUGGUGUAAUGGUUUGAGCAUUGGACCAUAAGUCUAGAGACCAGGGUUCAAGUCCCAGCUCAGCCA
Molecule: transfer RNA, 72 nt
Filed under: Phrynosoma platyrhinos (Desert horned lizard)
Lineage: Eukaryota; Metazoa; Chordata; Lepidosauria; Squamata; Phrynosomatidae
Description: tRNA-OTHER
Source: RNAcentral